Molecule: non-coding RNA, 75 nt
Organism: Chloroflexi bacterium RBG_16_54_18
Lineage: Bacteria; Bacillati; Chloroflexota
Source: Rfam
CGGGGCGUGGCUCAGCCCGGUUAGAGCGCGCGGUUCGGGUCCGCGAGGACGGCGGUUCAAAUCCGCCCGCCCCGA